GAGUUUGAUCAUGGCUCAGAUUGAACGCUGGCGGCGUGCUUAACACAUGCAAGUCGAGCGGUAACAGGCGUAGCAAUACGUGCUGACGAGCGGCGAACGGGUGAGUAAUGCUUCGGAAUCUUCCCGGUGGUGGGGAAUAACUUGGGGAAACUCAAGCUAAUACCGCAUACGACCUACGGGUGAAAGCAGGGGAUCGCAAGACCUUGCGCCAUUGGAUGAGCCGAAGUCGGAUUAGCUAGUUGGUGGGGUAACGGCCUACCAAGGCGACGAUCCGUAGCUGGUCUGAGAGGACGACCAGCCACACUGGGACUGAGACACGGCCCAGACUCCUACGGGAGGCAGCAGUGGGGAAUAUUGGACAAUGGGGGCAACCCUGAUCCAGCGACGCCGCGUGUGUGAAGAAGGCCUGCGGGUCGUAAAGCACUUUUAGUGGGGAUGAAAAGCCAGGGGCUAAUACCUUCUGGUCUUGACCUAACCCAAGAAAAGCACCGGCUAACUCUGUGCCAGCAGCCGCGGUAAC
Molecule: ribosomal RNA, 520 nt
Filed under: uncultured Gammaproteobacteria bacterium
Lineage: Bacteria; Pseudomonadati; Pseudomonadota; Gammaproteobacteria
Description: bacterial SSU rRNA
Rfam family: Bacterial small subunit ribosomal RNA
Source: RNAcentral